UACGUAGGGUGCAAGCGUUGUCCGGAAUUAUUGGGCGUAAAGAGCUCGUAGGCGGUCUGUCGCGUCUGCUGUGAAAACUCAGGGCUUAACCCUGAGCUUGCAGUGGGUACGGGCAGACUAGAGUGCGGUAGGGGAGACUGGAAUUCCUGGUGUAGCGGUGAAAUGCGCAGAUAUCAGGAGGGAACACCCGGUGGCGAAGGCGGGUCUCUGGGCCGUAACUGACGCUGGAGGAGCGAAAGCAUGGGGAGCGAACAGG
This 256-nucleotide ribosomal RNA is filed under the name uncultured bacterium. Its description in RNAcentral is "partial 16S ribosomal RNA". It matches the Rfam family "Bacterial small subunit ribosomal RNA", at positions 524 to 776 of the family's 1533-position model. The record is from RNAcentral.